RNAcentral lists this ribosomal RNA (102 nucleotides) under Myrmaecium rubricosum. Its description in RNAcentral is "partial small subunit ribosomal RNA". It matches the Rfam family "Eukaryotic small subunit ribosomal RNA", at positions 1462 to 1563 of the family's 1831-position model. Lineage: Eukaryota; Fungi; Ascomycota; Dothideomycetes; Valsariales; Valsariaceae. The record is from RNAcentral.
CUGUGAUGCCCUUAGAUGUUCUGGGCCGCACGCGCGCUACACUGACAGAGCCAACGAGUACAGCACCUUGGCCGGAAGGUCUGGGUAAUCUUGUGAAACUCU